GCACGCACGCACGCACGCACGCGCACACACACACACACACACACACACACACACACACACACACACACAUGGGGGGGGGCGUCAAGGGGGGCUUCGCCCUCUCUCUCGCACUCACCUCGUCUAAGUCGCUAAUCCAUGUACUAUUUGCAAUGCGGAAUCGUAUCGUGUGCAAUCGGGUCCGUCUGCAAACGGAUCGGUGCGCAAUCGGGUUCGUGUGCAAUCGGGUCAGUGUGCAAUCGGGUCCGUGUGCAAACGGGUCGUGUGCAAUCGGGUCUAUGUGCAAAUUGAUCGGUGCGCAAUCGAGUUCGUGUGCAAUCGGCUCCGUGCCCAAUCGGGUCUGUGUCCAAUCGAGUCCGUGUCCAAUCGGGACUGUGUCCGAUCGGGAUGGUGUGCAAUCGAGACUGUGUUUAAUCGAGUCCGUGUCCAAUAGGGGGUCUGUGUUCAAUCGAGUCCGUGUCCAAUUGGGAUUGUGUCCAGUUGGGACAUACUACUGUGUUCAAUCGCUUAUGUGCGCAAUCGGGACAGACUCGUAUAUACAGGGUGAUUCAGAAUGACCCAGGUGUUCUUACAAUGACAUAUUUUUUAAUUAAUUUUAAGACGAUUUUUUAACGAAAAUUUAAUCCAAAGCUUACUUUUUUAUUAAAUAAAAUAGUUACCGAAUUACGGGAGACAUACAGAAAGUAUAGUCUAGGAGUCAGCGAUAGUUUGAACUUCGUUAUUUUAUCAAAACUGAUUUUUAUUUAUAAGAAUUAUUAUUGCUAAUAAAUGAAAUGACCGUCAGCUAGCGUAAUAGCGGUAGAGGCGGUUGCAGUAGUGCCUUCCACGUGUAAAAAAUAUUAAAAAUUAGUUAUAUUACCAAAGCUAAAAACUUUUACUGUUUAAUUAUGCUUUAAGAUAGCGAAAAAUAAAAGCCAUUUGGCGAAAUUUUCACGAAUUGUUUUUCAUAAAUUUAUAAUUUACUAUCAUUUAUGGUUUUUGAAAAUCAUCGAAAUGUGAUAUAUUACGUCUUGUAUGUUUAAGCUUUCGAAAGGCAGCAUUUUUUAAAAUCAAGAUGAUGAAAUCAAAAUGGAGGCAAAUAAGUGGACAGUUGAAUUUCUCUGUUUCUGUUAAAUUUUAAUGCAGUUAUAAAUGAAAGAUAUAGAACUUUGCAGAUUUUUUGAAUUAACAUUAUUUUUUUAGGAAAAAAAUGGCUGAUCCAAAAUGGCAGUUCAAAAGUCAUGAUAGUAAAAAACCAAUACUUGUUUAGAAAACCUGACUAAUACCCUUGAAACCAAUAGAAAAGUAGUUGUUUUUUACAAAUGCAUGUGUAUAUAUCUAUGCAAGUAUGUGUAUUUACGCGUGUGCGUACAAAUUCGUGUGCAUUUGCAGUUAUACACUCCCAUACAUGUAUUUUUUUUACGUUUUUUAGCCGUCUACAAUCAAAGCUAUUGUCCUAAUCUUACCACGAGAAGGUGACCUUUAGGUGAAAUAAGAUUUACUUUUGUUAUUGAUUUAUUUUUCUGUGUUUUUAAUUUUUGUUUUUUUGUACUUUUUAUUUAUUGAAUACGCAGUUUGUGAAACCGAGAAGAAACAUACUGCAAAAGACUUUACUAUAAAUAUAGUUGAUUAUUAUUUGAAAAAAAGCUAAAGAGGAUAAUGUAUGAUCUUACAAAUUGAGUAAAAUUGAUAAGAAAAAGUAUUAUUCGAAUACAAAGUGUUAGAUACAAAUUUAGUCAUACUGCGAUAAAUGCACUAAAUAUUUUUGCAAAACUUGUUUUCACGAUUUGCGUAAGUUAAAAUAAAGAAAAAAUAUAAGAGAGAUAAAUGUAUAUAAUAUAAGUGAGAGGAAUAUAAGCAUUCAAUAAAUAAAAAGUACAAAAAACAAAUUAAAAACAAAAAAUAAAAGAAAAUAAAAAACAAAAGUGAAUCUUAUUCACGUUAAUCUUCUUGUGGUAAUAUUCGGACAACGAUUUUUGCAUUAUUAAUACAGUAAGAACAUUGUUAAUUAAUUGGUAUUAAACUUUCCUAAGUUUACUUGACUGUUCCAAUAGAAUAACAGAUACUGUGCAUAUUUUUUUAGAAAGUAUUAAUUUCAUAACUUAUUUUUUGUGUUUCUGGGCAUCUAUUUAUUUGCGCGAAGCGCAUGAGGCAAGACUUCAACAAUGAGACUGACGCGUAAACGGUUUGGCCGCGUUUUCCUGGAAUUUUUCUCUCUUACAGCUCUAGCACACACACACACGCACAUAUAUUAUCGUACAAUUUUACAUCUAGUUCUGCAUUUAAAGAAUUUAUGAAGGAACUGGAACCAAAUUAUGGUAGUCUAACAAUACUUCGCCGCCUUCGUAUGUUUGAGAGUGAAUCAAAACUAAAAUUGAACAACAACUAGCUGAAGUGUGUUAUUCUCAACACAGAUUGCUGGACUUCUAGAGCUCAGGAAGGUUACAUAAAUGUCAACGCACUUUAUUAAUAAAGAUUGAGUGCUGCAUAUUUUUACCCUUUGGACUGAAAAGCUUGAAAAACGUCAUACAGCUGAAAAUCUUGCAGACAGUUUAUAAAAUGUUAUUUUGCGAUAUGCAACUAAAGAUAAAAUAAUUGCUGUAGUAAAUGAUAAUGCGAGAAAUAUUGUAUUACAAAUUAUUAACUUUGUACCACAUAUUUAGAUCGGUCUUACUUAUGCUGCUCAUACAACUUAUUUGGCAGUACAAAACGCCUUUAAUCAAGGAGAUGUAUAUAAUUUGUUAACAAAAGCCAGUAAGAUUGUGUUUUAUUUUCGACAUUUUGCUCUUGCUUCGAAAAAUCUCGCACUGAAACAGGAACAGCUAGGUUUACCAAAACUUAAAUUGAUUCAAAGUGUUCGCACACGCUGAAAUACUGACCUGCAAAUGGCUGAAAGGCUCAUUGAAAAUCGCAGCGCCAUUACAAAUGUGCUAACAGACAAAGCCGUAACAAAAUCACAAUAAGCUUAAGCUUUAAAAAUGCAAGAAAACGAUUGGGGCAUUUUAGAGUCCUUAGUAGAGAUCCUAAAAUCUCGAGGUUGCUACAACGGUUUUAUAGGGAGGGACACUUUCAAUGGUAAAUUCGAUUGUGCGCACUUUAAUUGAUAAUUGUUUAACUCCUGCUUUGAAUAAAUAUAAAGAAAAUGAAACGAUUACUCCUAUAAUAAAGGCAUUAUUUAAACAGUUGUUAGAUCGAUUUAGUCUAGACUAGGAUUCACAAAAUGAUAUUCAAGUGUUUCAAAAAACAUUUUUCUUAGACCCUAGAUUUAAAGGACUACUAGCUGAAUCAGUAAUGGUAAGAGUAAUAUACAAGCACGUAUUAAACAAGUGAUUGAAAUUGAAACUUUGUGUCGAACCAAAAGUAAAAAAGCUGACAUUAAAAAUGCAAGUGCUCUUGAUUUUCUAUUCAAGCGCUGAGAAUGGAAAACUCAUCAGCUGCUGAGCAGUACAAAAGAUAUUUAUCAGAGCCAGAAAUAAACAUAAAUAUGGACCUAUUUAAAUAGUGGAAAUUCAUGAAAAAAAUUCCAUUGGUGUCACAAUUAGCUAAAAAAUAUUUAUGAAUUUCUGCCACCUUUGUUGCCUCAGAGAGUUUUUUCAACAGCGGAAAUAUUAUCACAUCGCAACAAAGUUGUCGCUACUAAUGUAUUUUUAUAUCAAAAUAGAAAUUAUUUGUAUUAAUUUUGAAAAUUAUUAUUUGUUUACUUAUUUAUCUGUUUGUUUAUUUAUGUAUUUAU
Molecule: long non-coding RNA, 3709 nt
Organism: Monomorium pharaonis (pharaoh ant)
Lineage: Eukaryota; Metazoa; Arthropoda; Insecta; Hymenoptera; Formicidae
Exons: 2
Source: RefSeq, a predicted model, not a curated record